RNAcentral lists this ribosomal RNA (483 nucleotides) under uncultured bacterium. RNAcentral's name for it is "bacterial SSU rRNA". It matches the Rfam family "Bacterial small subunit ribosomal RNA", at positions 28 to 507 of the family's 1533-position model. The record is from RNAcentral.
GAUGAACGCUAGCGGCAGGCCUAACACAUGCAAGUCGAGGGGCAUCAUGGCGUAGCAAUACGCUGAUGGCGACCGGCGCACGGGUGCGUAACGCGUAUGGAACCUACCCACCGCAGGGGGAUAACCCGCCGAAAGGCGGACUAAUACCCCAUGGUUCCCCGACCCUGCCUGGGGUUGGGGGUAAAGCCUACGGGCGGCGGUGGAUGGCCCUGCGUGCCAUUAGCUGGCUGGUGGGGUAACGGCCCACCAGGGCGACGAUGGCUAGGGGGUCUGAGAGGACGAUCCCCCACACUGGUACUGAGACACGGACCAGACUCCUACGGGAGGCAGCAGUGAGGAAUAUUGGUCAAUGGGCGGAAGCCUGAACCAGCCAUGCCGCGUGCAGGAUGACGGCCCUACGGGUUGUAAACUGCUUUUCCCGGGGCGAAUAACCCCUCGCGAGGGGAGUGCCGGUACCGGGGAAUAGGAUCGGCUAACUCCGUG